AUGAUCGCCCUGCUUCUCUUAGCGCCGGCGUGCGUGCUCUUCUUCCUGCGCGCCGCGUGCAGCAGCAGCGACAGCGAGGUCAAGGAAGAGAAUGAGGUCGAGGAUCGCUCUGAGAUCUUCCCGUGGCCCCUGAUCUGGCCGGUGCAAGGGUUCAUCACCGUGGCGACGUUGGCGGCACCCAUCGCCUUCGUUCUUCAGAUGUGUGGAUUUCGAGAGGCUUCUUACUUAAUCUGCGUCGCGGCUGUGUUGUGCUCGGUCCUACUCCUCGCCCUCUUCUACAUCGCUGCUGCCGUGGCGAUCUGGAGGAUGAGUCCUCAACAGCGCAGCAUCGCUGGCAUGCUCAGGAUGAGUCUCAGGCUAGCGACUAACAAGGUGGCGGAGUAG
This 384-nucleotide ribosomal RNA is filed under the name Triticum aestivum (bread wheat). RNAcentral describes it as "partial small subunit ribosomal RNA". The record is from RNAcentral. Lineage: Eukaryota; Viridiplantae; Streptophyta; Magnoliopsida; Poales; Poaceae.